CCUACGGGUGGCAGCAGUGAGGAAUAUUGGUCAAUGGACGCAAGUCUGAACCAGCCAUGCCGCGUGCAGGAUGACGGCUCUAUGAGUUGUAAACUGCUUUUGUACGAGGGUAAACCCCGAUACGUGUAUCGGGUUGCAAGUAUCGUACGAAUAAGGAUCGGCUAACUCCGUGCCAGCAGCCGCGGUAAUACGGGGGAUCCGAGCGUUAUCCGGAUUGAUUGGGUUUAAAGGGUGCGUAGGCGGUUUGAUAAGUUAGAGGUGAAAGGUCGGGGCUCAACCCCGAAACUGCCUCUAAUACUGUUGGACUAGAGAAUAGUUGCGGUAGGCGGAAUGUAUGGUGUAGCGGUGAAAUGCUUAGAGAUCAUACAGAACACCGAUUGCGAAGGCAGCUUACCAAACUAUAUCUGACGUUGAGGCACGAAAGCGUGGGUAGCAAACAGGAUUAGAUACCCUUGUAGUC
Molecule: ribosomal RNA, 460 nt
Filed under: uncultured bacterium
Lineage: Bacteria
Description: partial 16S ribosomal RNA
Rfam family: Bacterial small subunit ribosomal RNA
Source: RNAcentral